UACGUAGGUGACGAGCGUUAUCCGGAAUACUGGGCGUAAAGCGCACGCAAGCGGUCUGACAAGUCUGGCGUGAAAUUCUCUGGCUUAACCAGGGGGGGUCGCUGGAAACUGUUGGGCUUGAGGCGUGAGAGGGGUGCAGAAUUCCCGGUGUAGUGGUGGAAUGCGUAGAGAUACGGGAGGAAUACCAGUGGCGAAAAGCGGCACCCCUGGCGUCGUACUGACGCACAUGU
This 230-nucleotide ribosomal RNA is filed under the name uncultured bacterium. RNAcentral's name for it is "partial 16S ribosomal RNA". It matches the Rfam family "Bacterial small subunit ribosomal RNA", at positions 524 to 752 of the family's 1533-position model. The record is from RNAcentral.